CAAAGACUUAAAAUUAUUCUCAGUGGGUGGCUGUGUCCAAAGAGGCCUGACAAUAAUCUAUCUGGAGUGGUUACCAUGGCAAGAGGGGGGCCGUCAUGGUGGCAGUAUGUAGGAUCAUUGAAAUCGAAACACCAAUUUCCUGCUGUGAAGGGGGAAGAAUAGAGGUAGACAUAUGCUUUAUGCCUGACGUGGGCACUGCAUAUGGGAUUAAAUCUCAGGGAUAUGGGAAAAUAUGCUAGUGAUUAACAGUAUAUAAUAUUGUCUCCUAGCAUUUGAAAUAACAUUUUGUGUUUCCUAUUUGUUUGUAAGGUAUUAUGUUUUAUUUGUUUAAAGAGAAAUUAGGUUACUUUGGAAAGAAUGUACUUUAGUUUGAGUAGAUUGAUUUAAAUAUGAAGAUGGGAUCUGUUAGAUGGGACUAAUCAUCAUAUUCAGUGUGCUCCAGCCAACAUUUUCUAAAUGGCCACUCAGUGCCAGGUAUUUAUUAUGUUAGGCACCAGAGAUUUAAAAGGUAAAAUAAAAUAAUCUCUGUCACAAGGAGAUCACAAUCUGCUAUAAGGGUAGUUGUCAUGCAAAUAAGUAGAGUGAAAUGUGACAAGCAGUAUAACCCACAAUUUACAUGUUGCUAUGUAAACACAAAGAAGAAAGUAUUAAUGGCAAUCAUGGAAGGCUUCACAGAAUAAGUGACCUUUACAAUGUGUCUUGAGACAGAACAGAGGAAGAUUUCUGGGUGAAGAAAAUAGCAGGAGCCACUCUGGGAAAUUAAAUAGCAUGUGAAAAGUCACAAAAGGAAUAGUGAAUUCAGAACAUUCUAAGUAGGUUGUUAUGGCUGGAAUGUAGAUUGAGAGGUGUGGGAUGGGGUGAGUGGGGGGAGAUAUGAUUUAUAAAAUACAUUAAAAAGUGGUUGGGAAAGUUUAAAUAUUAUACUAAAGAUAAUAAAGGGCCAUCAAAAAUUUUCAAGCAGGAAAGUGCCUGAUUUGAUUUGUGGUUUAGAAAGAUUAUUCUGGAGGCUAUGUGGAGGAUGGAUGAGGAGGUCAGUUGGAAAGCUAUUGCAAUAUUCCACACGUGAGAUAAUGAGAUCCAAAGCAGUACAGAGACCAUGGAAAUGGAUAGAAUGCCACAAAUAUGAAAGCACUUCUAGAGGUUCCAAAUAUCUUGCCAACAUUAGUUUAUGAUCCAUUGUGUAUCCAAUUAUAAUGAACCUCCAUUACAAGUGAGAGAAUUGAGCCCUGGUUUCCUAAGGCACCCUGCCAUUUAGUCUCUUCAUGUGGCCAUGAAACAGAGUGAAGCUAACUGGCCUACCCAGAAAUUGAAACCAUAACCUUCAUCAGUUUU
Molecule: non-coding RNA, 1332 nt
Organism: Microcebus murinus (gray mouse lemur)
Lineage: Eukaryota; Metazoa; Chordata; Mammalia; Primates; Cheirogaleidae
Source: RefSeq, a predicted model, not a curated record